RNAcentral lists this ribosomal RNA (253 nucleotides) under uncultured bacterium. RNAcentral describes it as "partial 16S ribosomal RNA". It matches the Rfam family "Bacterial small subunit ribosomal RNA", at positions 524 to 776 of the family's 1533-position model. The record is from RNAcentral.
UACGUAGGGUCCGAGCGUUGUCCGGAAUUAUUGGGCGUAAAGGGCUCGUAGGCGGUCCGUCACGUCGGGAGUGAAAACUCAGGGCUCAACCCUGAGCGUGCUUCCGAUACGGGCGGACUAGAGGUAUGCAGGGGAGAACGGAAUUCCUGGUGUAGCGGUGGAAUGCGCAGAUAUCAGGAGGAACACCAACGGCGAAGGCAGCUUGCUGGGACGGUACUGACGCUAAGGCGCGAAAGCGUGGGGAGCGAACAGG